RNAcentral lists this transfer RNA (70 nucleotides) under Cordylochernes scorpioides. RNAcentral describes it as "tRNA-OTHER". The record is from RNAcentral. Lineage: Eukaryota; Metazoa; Arthropoda; Arachnida; Pseudoscorpiones; Chernetidae.
UGCAUCGGCCGGGAAUCGAACCCGGGCCGCCCGCGUUGAGGCGAGCAUUCUACCACUGAACCACCGAUGC